Molecule: ribosomal RNA, 253 nt
Filed under: uncultured bacterium
Lineage: Bacteria
Description: partial 16S ribosomal RNA
Rfam family: Bacterial small subunit ribosomal RNA
Source: RNAcentral
UACGUAGGGUGCGAGCGUUGUCCGGAAUUAUUGGGCGUAAAGGGCUCGUAGGCGGUUUGUCGCGUCGGGAGUGAAAACGCCGUGCUUAACACGGCGCUUGCUUUCGAUACGGGCAGACUAGAGGUAUGCAGGGGAGAACGGAAUUCCUGGUGUAGCGGUGAAAUGCGCAGAUAUCAGGAGGAACACCGGUGGCGAAGGCGGUUCUCUGGGCAUGACCUGACGCUGAGGAGCGAAAGCCAGGGGAGCAAACGGG